Molecule: ribosomal RNA, 992 nt
Filed under: Yersinia enterocolitica
Lineage: Bacteria; Pseudomonadati; Pseudomonadota; Gammaproteobacteria; Enterobacterales; Yersiniaceae
Description: partial 23S ribosomal RNA
Rfam family: Bacterial large subunit ribosomal RNA
Source: RNAcentral
CUGUAAGCCGUUGAAGGUGACCUGUGAGGGUUGCUGGAGGUAUCAGAAGUGCGAAUGCUGACAUAAGUAACGAUAAUGCGGGUGAAAAACCCGCACGCCGGAAGACCAAGGGUUCCUGUCCAACGUUAAUCGGGGCAGGGUGAGUCGACCCCUAAGGCGAGGCUGAAAAGCGUAGUCGAUGGGAAACAGGUUAAUAUUCCUGUACUUGGUGUUACUGCGAAGGGGGGACGGAGAAGGCUAGGCUAGCCGGGCGACGGUUGUCCCGGUUUAAGCAUGUAGGCGGAGUGACUUGGUAAAUCCGGUUGCUUAUCAACGCUGAGGUGUGAUGACGAGCCACUACGGUGGUGAAGUAGUUGAUGCCAAGCUUCCAGGAAAAGCCUCUAAGCAUCAGGUAACAUUAAAUCGUACCCCAAACCGACACAGGUGGUCAGGUAGAGAAUACUCAGGCGCUUGAGAGAACUCGGGUGAAGGAACUAGGCAAAAUGGUGCCGUAACUUCGGGAGAAGGCACGCUGGCAUUAGGUAAAGAGACUUGCUCUCGGCGCCGAAGCCAGUCGCAGAUACCAGCUGGCUGCAACUGUUUAAUAAAAACACAGCACUGUGCAAACACGAAAGUGGACGUAUACGGUGUGACGCCUGCCCGGUGCUGGAAGGUUAAUUGAUGGGGUCAGCCGCAAGGCGAAGCUCUUGAUCGAAGCCCCAGUAAACGGCGGCCGUAACUAUAACGGUCCUAAGGUAGCGAAAUUCCUUGUCGGGUAAGUUCCGACCUGCACGAAUGGCGUAAUGAUGGCCAGGCUGUCUCCACCCGAGACUCAGUGAAAUUGAACUCGCUGUGAAGAUGCAGUGUACCCGCGGCAAGACGGAAAGACCCCGUGAACCUUUACUAUAGCUUGACACUGAACAUUGAGCCUUGAUGUGUAGGAUAGGUGGGAGGCAUUGAAGUGUGGACGCCAGUCUGCAUGGAGCCAACCUUGAAAUACCACCCUUUAAUGU